RNAcentral lists this small RNA (29 nucleotides) under Bombyx mori (domestic silkworm). Its description in RNAcentral is "ovarian small RNA-35212". Lineage: Eukaryota; Metazoa; Arthropoda; Insecta; Lepidoptera; Bombycidae. The record is from RNAcentral.
UGGUUCAAGCAGGCGCACGUGGGCCGCUA